GUGCCAGCAGCCGCGGUAAUACGUAGGUGGCAAGCGUUGUCCGGAAUUACUGGGCGUAAAGAGCGCGCAGGCGGCUGGUCAAGUCCGAUGUGAAAGCUCCCGGCUUAACUGGGAAAUUGCAUCGGAAACUGAUCGGCUUGAAGGUGGGAGAGGGUAGUGGAAUUCCCGGUGUAGUGGUGAAAUGCGUAGAUAUCGGGAGGAACACCAGUGGCGAAGGCGACUACCUGGCCCACUCUUGACGCUGAGGCGCGAAAGCUAGGGGAGCGAACGGGAUUAGAUACCCGUGUAGUCC
Molecule: ribosomal RNA, 292 nt
Filed under: uncultured bacterium
Lineage: Bacteria
Description: partial 16S ribosomal RNA
Rfam family: Bacterial small subunit ribosomal RNA
Source: RNAcentral